This 513-nucleotide ribosomal RNA is filed under the name Phialocephala fortinii. Its description in RNAcentral is "eukaryotic LSU rRNA". The stretch from base 180 to 333 matches the Rfam family "5.8S ribosomal RNA". The record is from RNAcentral. Lineage: Eukaryota; Fungi; Ascomycota; Leotiomycetes; Helotiales; Mollisiaceae.
UGGUACAAGUGAGGCUACCGAACGUUGGAAACAGCGGUUAGGAGCUUACACCCACCCGUGUUUACAUACUAUUGUUGCUUUGGCGGGCCGUGGCCUCCACUGCGGGCUCUGCUCGUGUGUGCCCGCCAGAGAACCAAACUCUGAAUGUUAGUGAUGUCUGAGUACUAUCUAAUAGUUAAAACUUUCAACAACGGAUCUCUUGGUUCUGGCAUCGAUGAAGAACGCAGCGAAAUGCGAUAAGUAAUGUGAAUUGCAGAAUUCAGUGAAUCAUCGAAUCUUUGAACGCACAUUGCGCCCUGUGGUAUUCCGCAGGGCAUGCCUGUUCGAGCGUCAUUUAACCACUCACGCCUAGCGUGGUAUUGGGGCACGCGGUCUCCGCGGCCCUCAAAAUUAGUGGCGGCGCCGGUGGGCUCUAAGCGUAGUACAUACUCCCGCUAUAGAGUCCCCCCGGUGGCUCGCCAGAACCCCCAAUUUUUACAGGUUGACCUCGGAUCAGGUAGGGAUACCCGCUGA